Molecule: ribosomal RNA, 253 nt
Filed under: uncultured bacterium
Lineage: Bacteria
Description: partial 16S ribosomal RNA
Rfam family: Bacterial small subunit ribosomal RNA
Source: RNAcentral
UACGAAGGGGGCUAGCGUUGUUCGGAAUUACUGGGCGUAAAGCGCGCGCAGGCGGCUAUCCAAGUCAGAGGUGAAAGCCCGGAGCUCAACUCCGGAACUGCCAUUGAAACUGUUUAGCUUGAGGACGAGAGAGGUGAGUGGAAUUCCCAGUGUAGAGGUGAAAUUCGUAGAUAUUGGGAAGAACACCGGUGGCGAAGGCGGCUCACUGGCUCGUUUCUGACGCUCAGGCGCGAUAGCGUGGGGAUCAAACAGG